RNAcentral lists this ribosomal RNA (560 nucleotides) under uncultured bacterium. Its description in RNAcentral is "bacterial SSU rRNA". It matches the Rfam family "Bacterial small subunit ribosomal RNA", at positions 905 to 1473 of the family's 1533-position model. The record is from RNAcentral.
AGGAAUUGACNGGGGGCCCGCACAAGCGGUGGAGCAUGUGGUUUAAUUCGAUGCAACGCGCAGAACCUUACCUGGGCUUGAACUGUGCCGGAAACUUUCUGAAAGGAAAGCCUCCUUCGGGACUGGUACAGAGGUGCUGCAUGGCUGUCGUCAGCUCGUGUCGUGAGAUGUUGGGUUAAGUCCUGCAACGAGCGCAACCCCUACCGUUAGUUGCCAUCAGGUUAUGCUGGGCACUCUAGCGGGACUGCCGGCGUUAAGCCGGAGGAAGGCGGGGACGACGUCAAGUCCUCAUGGCCCUUACGUCCAGGGCUACACACGUGCUACAAUGGGUGGUACAAAGAGUCGCAAUACCGCGAGGUGGAGCUAAUCUCAAAAAACCAUCCUCAGUUCGGAUUUCAGUCUGCAACUCGACUGCAUGAAGCCGCAAUCGCUAGUAAUCGUGGAUCAGCACGCCACGGUGAAUACGUUCCCGGGCCUUGUACACACCGCCCGUCACACCAUGGAAGUCGGGAGUACCCGAAGCCGCCUCACUAAUAGGGGUGUCGAAGGUAAGCUUCAUA